Non-coding RNA from Heterocephalus glaber (naked mole-rat), 4761 nucleotides. The record is from RefSeq and is a predicted model, not a curated record. Lineage: Eukaryota; Metazoa; Chordata; Mammalia; Rodentia; Bathyergidae.
CCAACUCCAUAUCUGAACAUAUUAUCUUAAGAACAAUCUGUAAAAGUUCCUUCUGCAUUUCGCUUCUGUAUUUCUCUUUCUGCUUGCCAACUCCCUUCUAGCAUCUCCUAUAAAAGGACCUCAGGCUCUGAGCCGGGCACCUCUCCAAACUUGGAGCUUGGAGAGUGCUGUCUGGCCAGACUAAUAAAGGUCUGUUAUACAAUUUGUCCGGUGUGUUCCCUCCCGGGUGAUCUUCGCUGUAGUCAGCUCCUCAGAGCAUUUGGUAAGGCCCACGGUCUUACAUUCUGGAGGCCCCAGCGAAAUCCCCGGGCUGUGGCGGGAUCCAGCAGGAGACUCUCAGGCACAGACCUCGGAAAACCUCCGGAGGUAAGCUUUCGGCCAGUUGCAACUGUUUGUUAAGUCAGCAGUGAGGUGGCUGACGAUCCAGGAAGCCUCCCCUGACCCUGAGGUUCCUGAUGAGGAAAAAAGGAAGAUUUAUUUUCAUUUUGUCAUGGCGCCCCGUUCGUCUUGUCUUUUGUCUUCUUGUCUUUUGUCUGUUAGUGUUGUCUGUUGUGUGUUGGAUUUUACUUUUUUUUUUUCCCAAUCCUUAUCAGGAGCAGAGUAAUGGGAGGAACCUGUUCUACCGGGUCCACUCCCCUUCACUGGUUUCUCACUAAUUUUAAAUUGGCUUUUUCCUCCAGAACAAGAAGAUGAAUACAGGAUAAAAUUUUCUCGUGGAAAACUCCACUCCCUGUGCCAACUGGAAUGGCAAGCUUUUGGGGUGGGAUGGCCAGCCAAAGGGACUUUUGACCCCAGUAUUUGCCGGAAGGUGUGGGGCAAAGUCACCGGUUGCCCUGGCCACCCAGACCAAUUUCCCUACAUAGACAUCUGGGUUCAGGCUUGUGAGAAACCUCCGGCUUGGCUGCAGUGCUGUUCCCUCCAAACAGACAAUCGCAUUUUAGUCGCUGCCCCGAAAGGGCCCCAGGAACUUAAGCCCCAGGCUCCUAAGCUGGUUCUCUCACAGGAACCUGACCCCCUGGAUCCCUUAGGAGGGCCUCCGCCCUAUGUGAAAUCCUCCACCCCCUCAGAUGGCUCCCACUCUAGACACUGCAAUCCUUCCCUUCCUUGUCUGUUCAACCUUUGGCUCCUACUCCUCUCUAUCCUCCUCUCCCUGAGGGGCCCCAGUCCCUGGACUCUGUGACUUCUCCCCCACACAUGCAAGCUGGGGCUGCAUAUGGACCUUGCGAGGUCCCCACUGGGGAAACUAGUUUGGCCCCUCUCUUGCCCCUUCGGGAGACAGAACAAGGUCACUAUGUUUAUAUCCCUUUCACUACCAGUGACUUAUAUAAUUGGAAACAUUAAAAUCCUCCCUUCUCAGAGAAGCCCCAAGCCCUAAUAUCUCUUCUAGAGUCUAUCUUCCAUACCCAUGAUCCUAUUUGGGAUGAUUGCCAACAACUCCUCCAGGCCCUUUUUACCUCAGAGGAGAGGGAAAGGAUCCGGGGCCAAGCUGUAAGGUCGGUACUAGGCAGAGCAGAGGGCCCAUAUUGAAGCACAACUCCCAUCCACCUGACCCCGCUGGCAAACUAAUACCUUGGGCAGGAGAGAAGCUCUUCAGAAUUAUCAUCAGCAUCUCCUGGCCUGCCUGAGGGGAGCUGCUCAGAAGCCUACCAAUUUGAGCAAGGUAAGCAAGGUCCUUCAAGGACCAGAGGAAUCCCCUUCUGCCUUUUUUGGAGCAUCUGUUGAAAGCAUACCAUACGUAUACUCCAAUUGAUCCAGACACCCCUGCAAAUCGGCAGGCAAUAAAUUUGGCAUUUGUUACCCAGUCGGCCCCAGACAUUAGAAAGAAGCUGCAAAGACUAGAAGGAUUUGAGGGAGAGAAUAGAGAAAAGUUGAUGAGUGUAGCCAUGAAGGUGUUUAUUUGUCCAGAAAGAAAGACUCGAAAAUAAGGGAGAGAACAAGGGAAGGAUUGGAGCCCUAUUAGAGAAGGAUCAAUGUGCCUAUUGUAAGGAAAAGGGUCAUUUUAAAAAGGACCGUGAAAAGCUAAAAAGAAAAAGAAAAAAGGAGGCCCAAAAGGAAAAAGGUGGAAUGGGAGCAAAGGCUGCCCCAAGGGACAUCAGCACAAAAGGCUGAGUUGAUUGCUCUGACCAAGGCUCUAGAACUAGGUAAAGGUAAAAGGAUAAAUGUUUUCACUGACAGCUAUUAUGCUUUUGCCACUGGCCAUGUGCACAGGGAGAUUUAUCAAAACCGAGGGCUACUGACCUCUGAAGGAAAGACAAUUAAAAAUAAAACUGAGAUAUUGACAUUGUUACAAGCCAUUUGGCUGCCCCGAGAGGUUGCUAUCAUCCAUGUCCAUGGGCAUCAAAAGGGGGCUAGCCCUGAGGUGAUUGGUAAUAAUGCAGCUGAUCUGGCAGCAAAACAGGCUGCCCCCAAAUCAGUGGGGAAACAGAUGGUUCUGCUCCCCACACUGGUGCUGCCAGAGAAACCAGAGUACACAGAUGAAGAAACGGUGGAAAUGGCCAAAAAGCGGUGGACCCAAGGUAAACACUGCAUGGGUCCACCCACCUUGGCGAGAAAAGAGUGAUGGCUGCUCUGUGACCCCAUUUUGUCAGCAAGGGAAUGCCACAAAAGGCUGAAGACCUAGUGAGACGAUGCCCCACCUGUAUCAAGUUUUGACUCCAAGACCCUAGAACCCCGCUGGAAAGGACCAUUUCCUGUCAUCCUGGUGACUCCCUCAGCAGUGAAGGUAGCUGAACACUCUGCCUGGAUCCACCGCAGCCAUUUACAGGGGGCACCCCCCGGAGGAAGCUACGUCAACAUGGCGGAUCGACCAGAACACAAAGGACCCCCUCAAGAUAAGAUUGAUCAAAGACUAGUUUGGACAAUAUGGAGGUUCUUGGGGCUACUGUUCUUACCAGCCCCAAUGGAAGGGGGAUCUGGAUACCAGCUGGUGCUGUCCAGCCACACUCCCCAGAACUGGACUUGGUCCUUAGAAAAUGCCUUAACAGGAGCUCACAUUGCCACCAUUACUACUGAUAGACAGUCCCAUUUUACUAUAGACCUGUGUGGUCUGGGGCUUCCAAUCAUUAGUGGUGGAGAGGCUGGAUCUAAGGGUAAAGUUUCACCUGGAAAGAUGGGUAAAGGGGGCCAUGGAGGGAGGUGUGGAACAGAAUAAAAGACCUCCAAGACAUAGAUAUUUAUGCCUGCCCCAUAGGACAUCUAAUAGGGUCUCUGGCCCCCAAGAAAAAGAAAAGGCAAAAGGAAUCUAUAAUGUGUCAUUAGUUGCUCCUGAAUCUCUGAUCCAACCAUACCUAAAAAUCCUGGAUGCCAUGUACACCCUGUUAAAUGAGUCUAGCUCCAAUCUUACCCAAGGGUGUUGGCUGUGUUUAAGUCCAUGUCCCCUGUAUUAUGUAGGGUUGGCAGUAAACGGCACCUUCUCAGAAGCUGACUAGAAUGAGUGUGAUUGGAAACAACUGAGGUUGUCAAUUGAGGAUAUAAAAGGAAAAGAGUUAUGUGUUAAGAAUCCAAGUGUUACUUCUUCUUACCUGGACAGUAUAUGUUCUUAUCAGACACCCACUGCCAGUAAUGAAAAAUAUUUAAAAGCUGGAAACAAUGCAUGGUGGGCAUGUACAAAUUGUAUAACUCCCUGUUUAUCCAUGACAGUCCUCAAUCAGGAACUUGAGGUACGUGUAAUGGUCCACAUUUUACCCCAAGUCACUAUAUAUGGAGAAGACCAGGGUUGGGAAUACCUAGCUAAGAUAACACACACCCGAGAGAAGCGCCACCCAGCACUGAUUCCUGUGUUAACUGCAGCAGGCGUUGCAGGAUCAGCGGCUCUGGGCGUGACUGCAAUAGGACUGCAAGACUCCAAUUUCAAGACCCUUGCCCAACAGGUAAAAAUAGACUUAGGCCUACUUACCGAGUCAGUGUCUCAUUUGGAAAAACAGGUUGAUUCUCUGGCUGAGAUGGUCCUUCAAAACCGCCGAGGACUCGACCUCGGGUUUAUGAAAGAGGGAGGGCUAUGUGCAGCCCUAGGAGAGUCAUGUUGCUAUUAUGCUAAUAAAUCUGGAAUAAUAAGAGAAACCCUGGCCACUGUAAAUAAACACCUACAAGAAAAUUAUAAUAGGUUGAUAAAACAGGAGGGAUGGUUCCAGUCAAUGUUUAACUGGUCUCCCUGGAUGACUACCCUUGUUUCUGCCCUUGCUGGACCCCUGUUAAUCUUGUUACUAGCUUUGACUUUUGGCCCAUGCAUUAUUACUAAGCUUAUGGGCUAUGUAAGGGCCUGGAUAGGAUCUGUUCGCCUAAUGAUUCUGAAUCAACAGGCCAAAUAUCAUCCUUUAAGUGAGCUAGAUGAGGAAGAGUAAAGAUGGAGACAAGAAUACCAAGAUAAUGCUGUAUAAGAUUACACAGCCACGGGAAAAAUCAGUGGGGAAUGUGAGACUGAACAACAGUUACUCCAUUUUGUAAUAGGGCCCCAACUUGUCUGCUUCUGUUACGGAUCACCAGGUAGAUAUCGAGUUCCAAGGAUGUGCUUGUUGUUGUGGCAAGAAGGUCUGUUGUGUGCGCAGUGUUCCGUCAUGCUUGCCCAACUCCAUAUCUGAACAUAUUAUCUUAAGAACAAUCUGCAAAAGUUCCUUCUGCAUUUUGCUUCUGUAUUUCUGCUUGCCAACUCCCCUCUAGCAUCUCCUAUAAAAGGACCUCAGGCUCUGAGCCAGGCACCUCUCUAAACUUGGAGCUUGGAGAGUGCUGUCUGGCCAGACUAAUAAAGGUCUGUUAUACAACUUG